CAGCUUCAAACAAAUCUGCAUCACACUGGGGGUUUCCACCCCUUUUUCUCUGUCAAUGAUCCCCAUUUGUCCCCAGGGCCCGGGGUUUCAGGUCCUGCUGCAGCAAGACCCCUCAAGAAAACCAUGUUUAUAGCUGGAGUCAUUCAUGAUCUUAACAAUGAGAAUCAAUGAUCCUGUUCAGUGAAUAACAGCUCAGACGGUGCUCAUAACCUGAACGGGCUCUGAAGCUGGCAUACAAGAGGAGUUCAGAGGCACACUCACAGCUCUGAUAUGGCUGGUUCCGGAUGGAUUCUGGUAUCAACUGCAAAGUACUUGGAAGCAGCACUCUGACUUUCAACUCUUCUUGGGAAGCUUGGCUCGUGAGUCUAGACUCCUUCUACCUUCACAGUGAGUGUCUUCUAAAGUAGGGGUCCCUAACCCCCAGGCCACAGACUGGUACAGUCCGUGGCCUGUUAGGAACCAGGCCGCACAGCAGGAGGUGAACAGCAGGCGAGUGAGCAAAGCUUCAUCUGCAUUUACAGCCGCUCCCCAUCGCUCGCAUUACCACCUGAGCUCCGCUUCCUGUCAGC
Long non-coding RNA from Orcinus orca (killer whale), 569 nucleotides. RefSeq lists it as uncharacterized. The transcript has 3 exons. Lineage: Eukaryota; Metazoa; Chordata; Mammalia; Artiodactyla; Delphinidae. The record is from RefSeq and is a predicted model, not a curated record.